Molecule: ribosomal RNA, 524 nt
Filed under: uncultured delta proteobacterium
Lineage: Bacteria; Deltaproteobacteria
Description: bacterial SSU rRNA
Rfam family: Bacterial small subunit ribosomal RNA
Source: RNAcentral
GGCUCAGAGCGAACGUUAGCGGCGGGCCUAACACAUGCAAGUCGCACGAGAAAGCGGUUUCGGCCGUGAGUAAAGUGGCGGACGGGUGAGUAACACGUGGGUAAUCUGCCUUUCAGUGGGGGAUAACUGUCCGAAAGGAUAGCUAAUACCGCAUACGUCGGCGAGGUUUGCGAACCUUGUCGGGAAAGCCGGCCUCUCCAUGGAAGCUGGCGCUGGAAGAGGAGCCCGCGGCCCAUCAGCUAGUUGGUAGGGUAAUGGCCUACCAAGGCUUAGACGGGUAGCUGGUCUGAGAGGAUGAUCAGCCACACUGGGACUGAGACACGGCCCAGACUCCUACGGGAGGCAGCAGUGGGGAAUAUUGGGCAAUGGGCGCAAGCCUGACCCAGCCACGCCGCGUGAGUGAUGAAGGCUUUCGGGUCGUAAAGCUCUGUGGGGAGGGAAGAAAAAACGCUGGCCAAUAUCCAGCGGACUGACGGUACCUCCUUAGCAAGCACCGGCUAACUCCGUGCCAGCAGCCGCGGUAA